Long non-coding RNA from Kogia breviceps (pygmy sperm whale), 947 nucleotides. RefSeq lists it as uncharacterized. Lineage: Eukaryota; Metazoa; Chordata; Mammalia; Artiodactyla; Physeteridae. The record is from RefSeq and is a predicted model, not a curated record.
GGAGGGGCUUGGACCACGCUGGCUGGAGCGUGUGGACACAUCUCAUUGGUUGUGGGCACGGCACAUCCAGGGGAAGCGGCGGGCCUGAGGUGGCUGCGGCCAGUGAAGGAGGGGAGGCUGGGACAAAGCGCCAGGGCGGAGACGCCUGAGCCAGCUGGGAAGGAGAGAGAGAGGCACACUUUGACAGGAAGCCCCUGAGGGCAGGCUCACCUGGACCCCCGCUGGCACAACAGAUGCUCAAAGACGGGUGACAGAAGCCGGCCCGCCACCCUCCAUUUGGACAGCAAGGCCCCGAGAGGGGUUCACCUGGGAGGUGUCAAUGGAUAAAGGCAGAGAGCCGGGCAUUUUGCUCUGGAGGAACGACAGCAAGGCCGGGUCUGCCCCUGCUCUGUGCCCUCUGCGUGAGCUCCUCCACUUGCUCUGGCCCCUAGAAUCCUCCUGAACCCAUCUGACAGAUGACGAACCUGAGACAAAGAUGGCUCACAGGACCACACAGCCAGGAGGGGUCCCAGUUGAGACUGAAAAGCAAAACUGAGCCAGAGCUUCCUGAACCUGUCCUUGGAGACGGUCUCAGCCCCUGAAGAGUCUUUGCCCAGGAGCUCUGGAACCUGUUCCGGUGGCUUCCAUCCUAGAACCAUGCCUGUCCUGGCCCACAGCCUCGCCCUGUGCACCCUCUGGCACGGCCUAACACCCCAGAAGGUCUACACAGCAGAUGCCUCGGCCCCCACCCUCACCCCACUCACCCUGUGACACCCUGAGCUCCAGCCUUGCUCCCCACCCCACCCAGGGUCCAAAUAGCCUCCCAUCACUGAAUUCAUCAGAUUCCAGGGUGAGAACAUUUAUGACCCUUUUUUUUUUUUUUUUUAACCUGCUGGUGUUUCUAAAUUUUCCAAACCCAAACUGUCUUGUGUAAGAAUUUAUAAAAGCUGUGCAAAAUAAAUACUCUA